UGGGGAAUAUUGCACAAUGGGCGAAAGCCUGAUGCAGCAACGCCGCGUGCGGGAUGACGGCCUUCGGGUUGUAAACCGCUUUCAGCUCCGACGAAGCGCAAGUGACGGUAGGAGCAGAAGAAGGACCGGCCAACUACGUGCCAGCAGCCGCGGUGAUACGUAGGGUCCGAGCGUUGUCCGGAAUUAUUGGGCGUAAAGGGCUCGUAGGCGGUUUGUCGCGUCGGAAGUGAAAACUCAGGGCUUAACCCUGAGCCUGCUUCCGAUACGGGCAAACUAGAGGAAUGCAGGGGGAGAAUGGAAUUCCUGGUGGAGCGGUGGAAUGCGCAGAUAUCAGGAGGAACACCAGUGGCGAAAGGCGGUUCUCUGGGCAUUUCCUGACGCUGAGAAGCGAAAAGCGUGGGGAGCAAAACAGGCUUAGAUACCCUGGUAGUCCACGCCGUAAACGGUGGGCACUAGGUGUGGGACUCAUUCCACGAGUUCCGUGCCGUAGCUAACGCAUUAA
This 502-nucleotide ribosomal RNA is filed under the name uncultured Actinomycetes bacterium. RNAcentral describes it as "bacterial SSU rRNA". It matches the Rfam family "Bacterial small subunit ribosomal RNA", at positions 355 to 863 of the family's 1533-position model. Lineage: Bacteria; Bacillati; Actinomycetota; Actinomycetes. The record is from RNAcentral.